AUACGUAGGUGACAAGCGUUAUCCGGAUUUACUGGGCGUAAAGGGCGUGUAGGCGGUCUUGCAAGUCAGAAGUGAAAUUCCUGAGCUCAACUCGGGCGCUGCUUCUGAAACUGCAGGACUUGAGUGCUGGAGGGGAUAGCGGAAUUCCUAGUGGAGCGGUAAAAUGCGCAGAUAUUAGGAAGAACACCGGUGGCGAAGGCGGCUAUCAGGACAGAAACGGGAGCGGAGGCGCGAAAGCGGGGGGAGCAAACAGGAUUAAAUGCCCUGGUAGUCCACGCCGUAAACGAUGAAUACUAGGUGUAGGGGGUAUCGACUCCCUCUGUGCCGCAGUUAACACAAUAAGUAUUCCGCCUGGGGAGUACGGCCGCAAGGUUGAAACUCAAAUGAAUUGGCGGGG
Molecule: ribosomal RNA, 397 nt
Filed under: uncultured bacterium
Lineage: Bacteria
Description: partial 16S ribosomal RNA
Rfam family: Bacterial small subunit ribosomal RNA
Source: RNAcentral